AUACGUAGGGGGCGAGCGUUGUCCGGAAUGAUUGGGCGUAAAGGGCGCGUAGGCGGCCUGUUAAGUCUGGAGUGAAAGUCCUGUUUUCAAGAUGGGAAUUGCUUUGGAUACUGAUGGGCUUGAGUGCAGGAGAGGUUAUCGGAAUUCCCGGUGUAGCGGUGAAAUGCGUAGAGAUCGGGAGGAACACCAGUGGCGAAGGCGACUUACUGGGCCGUAACUGACGCUGAGGCGCGAAAGCGUGGGGAGCGAACAGGAUUAGAUACCCUGGUAGUCCACGCGGUAAACGAUGAAUGCUAGGUGUUGCGGGUAUCGACCCCUGCAGUGCCGGAGUCAACACAAUAAGCAUUCCGCCUGGGGAGUACGGCCGCAAGGUUGAAACUCAAAGGAAUUGGCGGGG
RNAcentral lists this ribosomal RNA (397 nucleotides) under uncultured bacterium. RNAcentral describes it as "partial 16S ribosomal RNA". It matches the Rfam family "Bacterial small subunit ribosomal RNA", at positions 523 to 918 of the family's 1533-position model. The record is from RNAcentral.